RNAcentral lists this ribosomal RNA (253 nucleotides) under uncultured bacterium. Its description in RNAcentral is "partial 16S ribosomal RNA". It matches the Rfam family "Bacterial small subunit ribosomal RNA", at positions 524 to 776 of the family's 1533-position model. The record is from RNAcentral.
UACGUAGGGUGCAAGCGUUAAUCGGAAUUACUGGGCGUAAAGCGUGCGCAGGCGGUUUUGUAAGACUGUCGUGAAAUCCCCGGGCUUAACCUGGGAAUGGCGAUGGUGACUGCAAGGCUAGAGUUUGGCAGAGGGGGGUAGAAUUCCACGUGUAGCAGUGAAAUGCGUAGAGAUGUGGAGGAACACCGAUGGCGAAGGCAGCCCCCUGGGUCAAGACUGAUGCUCAUGCACGAAAGCGUGGGGAGCAAACAGG